This 29-nucleotide non-coding RNA is filed under the name Rattus norvegicus (Norway rat). Lineage: Eukaryota; Metazoa; Chordata; Mammalia; Rodentia; Muridae. The record is from RNAcentral.
UUCUAGGUGACUUUGUCUUUGGAAAGUGC